RNAcentral lists this ribosomal RNA (516 nucleotides) under uncultured bacterium. RNAcentral describes it as "partial 16S ribosomal RNA". It matches the Rfam family "Bacterial small subunit ribosomal RNA", at positions 28 to 523 of the family's 1533-position model. The record is from RNAcentral.
GACGAACGCUGGCGGCGUGCCUAAUACAUGCAAGUCGAGCGGACUUGAUGAAGUGCUUGCACUUCUGAUGGUUAGCGGCGGACGGGUGAGUAACACGUAGGUAACCUGCCUAUAAGACUGGGAUAACAUUCGGAAACGAAUGCUAAUACCGGAUACGCGAAUUGGUCGCAUGGCCGAACCGGGAAAGACGGAGCAAUCUGUCACUUAUAGAUGGACCUGCGGCGCAUUAGCUAGUUGGUGAGGUAACGGCGCACCAAGGCGACGAUGCGUAGCCGACCUGAGAGGGUGAUCGGCCACACUGGGACUGAGACACGGCCCAGACUCCUACGGGAGGCAGCAGUAGGGAAUCUUCCGCAAUGGACGAAAGUCUGACGGAGCAACGCCGCGUGAGUGAUGAAGGUUUUCGGAUCGUAAAGCUCUGUUGCCAGGGAAGAACGCUUGGGAGAGUAACUGCUCUCAAGGUGACGGUACCUGAGAAGAAAGCCCCGGCUAACUACGUGCCAGCAGCCGCGGUAA